UAGGCUUGAGUGUUGCUUUUCUCUGUGCUCUAUAUCCCCUGGGGCAAGCCAGAAGAGGGCUGUGCACUUUGGAACGUGAGUCAGUCCUACAGCGCCACCUGGAGGGAGCCUGAGGAGGCUCCCGCGGUUCGGUUUCCCGUGUCGCCCUUAAGAGUUGUACCUCGGUUGUGUGAGAUGGGUUGGUUUAGAGCUUUUCCCAAGGCCUGUUUCCCUGGAAUUUAGGCAGAACGGGCCGCAACGCCGUCUAGAGGGUAUGGCGGCGAGAAGCCCCAGCUCCGGGGGCCUCCACACCUGGUCCUCGAAGCCACAAACAAUCCGAAUUCAAAAGCCAGGCGCUGUUCACCAUGUAAUCAAUUCCCCUCUCGUCUCCUUUAUGGGGCUUUACUGUAAGGUGGCGACAGGGCAAGGCUAGCGGGGAAGCCCUGAUGUCUGAUGGCUGGGCCCGAUCAAGAUCAAGAUCAAGGUCGCUGACGCUGUGUGACCAAAGGAGCGAAAUCACAAGUAGGAAGACAGGCAAGCAGAGAGAGAGGGAAGCAGGCCUCCCACUGAGCAGAGAGCCGGAUACAGGACUCGAUCCCAGGACCCUGAGAUCAUGACCUGAGCUGAAGGCAGAGGCUUAACCCACUGAGCCACCCAGACGCCCUAUUGAAUGACUUUUGUUAUGGGCUGAAGCUUGCUCCUUGAAAUGUGUAUGUGGAAGCUCUAACCCCCUAGGACGUCAGAAUGUGACUGUAUUUGGAGACUGGCCCUUAAAGAGGUAAUUAAGGUUAAAUGAAGUCAUAUGCGUGGGCCCUAAUCCAAGAUGACUGGUGUCCUUAUAGACACAUUAAAACACAGACACGUGCGUGGAGACGAAAGACUGCGUGGAGACAUAGUGAGAAGGUGGCACCUGCAAACCAGAGAGAAGCUUCAGAAAAAAAAAAUUUUUUUCAAACACCUUGAUCUUGGACUUCUAGUCUCUAGAACUGUGAGGAAAUAAAUUUCUGUUGUUGAAA
Molecule: long non-coding RNA, 995 nt
Organism: Mustela lutreola (European mink)
Lineage: Eukaryota; Metazoa; Chordata; Mammalia; Carnivora; Mustelidae
Exons: 2
Source: RefSeq, a predicted model, not a curated record